GCGGGUAUAGCUCAGUGGUAGAGCACAUGCUUAGCAUGCACGAGGUCCUGGGUUCAAUCCCCAGUGCCUCCA
This 72-nucleotide transfer RNA is filed under the name Camelus bactrianus (Bactrian camel). It matches the Rfam family "tRNA". Rfam says of the family: Transfer RNA (tRNA) molecules are approximately 80 nucleotides in length. Their secondary structure includes four short double-helical elements and three loops (D, anti-codon, and T loops). Lineage: Eukaryota; Metazoa; Chordata; Mammalia; Artiodactyla; Camelidae. The record is from Rfam by way of RNAcentral. RNAcentral also lists the same sequence under 1 other name.